GCAUGUGGUGGAUGCCUUGGCGAUCACAGGCGAUGAAGGACGUGCAAGCCUGCGAAAAGCUACGGGGAGCUGGCAAUGAAGCUUUGAUCCGUAGAUGUCCGAAUGGGGAAACCCACCCGCAAGGGUAUCCUGAUCUGAAUACAUAGGGUCAGGAGGCGAACCCGGUGAACUGAAACAUCUAAGUAGCCGGAGGAAAAGAAAUCAACCGAGAUUCCGUAAGUAGUGGCGAGCGAACACGGAAGAGCCUGCUAGUGAUAGCGGAACUGUUAGAAGAACGGAAUGGAAAGUCCGGCCGUAGUGGGUGAUAGCCCCGUAUUCGAAAACAGAUCCGUGGUACUAAGUUAGCGAAAAGUAGGGCGGGGCACGUGAAACCUUGUCUGAACAUGGGGGGACCAUCCUCCAAGGCUAAAUACUCGUGAUCGACCGAUAGUGAACUAGUACCGUGAGGGAAAGGCGAAAAG
Molecule: ribosomal RNA, 461 nt
Filed under: uncultured bacterium
Lineage: Bacteria
Description: bacterial LSU rRNA
Rfam family: Bacterial large subunit ribosomal RNA
Source: RNAcentral